Molecule: long non-coding RNA, 483 nt
Organism: Oreochromis niloticus (Nile tilapia)
Lineage: Eukaryota; Metazoa; Chordata; Actinopteri; Cichliformes; Cichlidae
Exons: 4
Source: RefSeq, a predicted model, not a curated record
AUAAAUCUCUGUUUCUCUUUCUACCAGUGAAAGAAUAGACUGUGGAGGAACUCUGAUCCACCCUCAGUGGGUCCUAACUUCUGAUUUGUGCUUGAGCUCCAGUCAGCCUUCAGCUGUGAGGGUAGUGCUGGGUAUGCACUCACUUAGAGCCACUGAGCCAUCAAGACAAGUGAGGAUGCUUGAGAAAAUCGUGACUGGACCAGAUGGAUCAAAUAUUGCUCUGCUCAAACUAGCAACACCUGCGGUGAUAAACAACCAAGUGCAGCCGGCUUGUCUGCCAAAAAAGGACUAUAUAGUUACUGGUGGAACAAUGUGUUAUGUUACUGGAUGGGGUAGGACUCAAGGUAUUGGAGGUGGACGUAUCCUGGAAGAAACUGGUUUCCCUGUGAUCGACAACAAAAUCUGUAAUCGCGACAGUGAUAUAGUUGCAGACCACGAAAUAUGUGCUGGAAAUACAGAGGGAGGAAAACCAAGCUGCCAGGU